UGCCAUCCGCCGCGGUAAUACGGAGGGGGUUAGCGUUGUUCGGAAUUACUGGGCGUAAAGGGCGCGUAGGCGGUCUUGUAUGUCGGGCGUGAAAGCCCCGGGCUCAACCCGGGAUGUGCGCCCGAAACUGCAAGACUAGAGUCUCGGAGAGGGAGGUGGAAUUCCAGAUGUAGCGGUGGGAUGCGUAGAUAUCUGGAAGAACACCGGUGGCGAAGGCGACCUCCUGGACGAUGACUGACGCUGAGGCGCGAAAGCGUGGGUAGCAAACAGGAUUAGAUA
RNAcentral lists this ribosomal RNA (279 nucleotides) under uncultured bacterium. RNAcentral's name for it is "partial 16S ribosomal RNA". It matches the Rfam family "Bacterial small subunit ribosomal RNA", at positions 506 to 784 of the family's 1533-position model. The record is from RNAcentral.